RNAcentral lists this ribosomal RNA (745 nucleotides) under Pseudocercospora sp. 2 VM-2021. Its description in RNAcentral is "partial large subunit ribosomal RNA". Lineage: Eukaryota; Fungi; Ascomycota; Dothideomycetes; Mycosphaerellales; Mycosphaerellaceae. The record is from RNAcentral.
AGCGGAGGAAAAGAAAACAAAAGUGAUACCCCUAGUAAUGGCGAACANGGUAGAGCCCAACGCAAAAGGUUUGCCGUCCCAGCUUNGAUNGCCAACGAUGNUGCGUGUGAGCGGCNGUGNUGANUUCAUNANNCGNUANNUNGNNGGGAUCUUCAACCCUUUNCAACUCUUNCGGAGGAAAAGAAACCAACAGGGAUUGCCCUAGUAACGGCGAGUGAAGCGGCANCAGCKSAAAKCUGAAAUUUGGCGUMWGCCCGAGUUGUAAUUUGUAGAGGAUGCUUCUGGGUAGCGGCCGGUCUAAGUUCCUUGGAACAGGACGUCAUAGAGGGUGAGAAUCCCGUAUGUGACUGGCUUGCACCCUCNACGUAGCUCCUUCGACGAGUCGAGUUGUUUGGGAAUGCAGCUCUAAAUGGGAGGUAAAUUUCUUCUAAAGCUAAAUACCGGCCAGAGACCGAUAGCGCACAAGUAGAGUGAUCGAAAGAUGAAAAGCACUUUGGAAAGAGAGUUAAAAAGCACGUGAAAUUGUUGAAAGGGAAGCGCCCGCAACCAGACUUUGCGGCGGUGUUCGGCUGGUCUUCUGACCGGUUUACUCGCCGCCGUGAGGCCAUCAUCGUCUGGGACCGCUGGAUAAGACNUGAGGAAUGUAGCUCCCUUCGGGGUGUGUUAUANCCUCUGGUGAUGCAGCGCGUCUCGGGCGAGGUCCGCGCUUCGGCAAGGAUGAUGGCGUAAUGGUUGUCGGCGGCCC